GGGCCACUAGCUCAAUUGGUAGAGCAGGCGACUCUUAAUCGUCUGGUUGGGGGUUCGAGUCCCUCGUGGCCCACCA
This 76-nucleotide transfer RNA is filed under the name Ammonifex sp. RNAcentral's name for it is "tRNA-Lys". It matches the Rfam family "tRNA". Rfam says of the family: Transfer RNA (tRNA) molecules are approximately 80 nucleotides in length. Their secondary structure includes four short double-helical elements and three loops (D, anti-codon, and T loops). RNAcentral also lists the same sequence under 2 other names. Lineage: Bacteria; Bacillati; Bacillota; Clostridia; Thermoanaerobacterales; Thermoanaerobacteraceae. The record is from RNAcentral.